GUGAACGCUGGCGGCGUGGAUUAGGCAUGCAAGUCGAGCGAUCUCCGCAAGGGGAUAGCGGCAAACGGGUUAGUAACACGUGAGGAAUUUGCCUCGAAGUCGAACACAGCUCCGUGAAAACGGAGGUAUUAUUCGAUGGUGUCCUGUCAUCGCAUGGUGACAGGAUUAAAGAUGGGGACCGCAAGGCCUAUCACUUCGGGAUGACCUCGCGUCCUAUCAGCUAGUUGGUGGGGUAAUGGCCUACCAAGGCUUUUGACGGGUAGCUGGUCUGAGAGGACGAUCAGCAACACUGGGACUGAGACACUGCCCAGACUCCUACGGGAGGCUGCAGUCGAGAAUCUUUAGCAAUGGGCGAAAGCCUGACUAUGCGACGCCGCGUGCAGGAUGAAGGUUUUCGGAUUGUAAACUGCUUUUGUCAGGAAAAUGACGGUAGCAUAUGAAUAAGCACCGGCUAACUCCGU
This 461-nucleotide ribosomal RNA is filed under the name uncultured bacterium. RNAcentral describes it as "bacterial SSU rRNA". It matches the Rfam family "Bacterial small subunit ribosomal RNA", at positions 29 to 506 of the family's 1533-position model. The record is from RNAcentral.